Molecule: ribosomal RNA, 292 nt
Filed under: uncultured bacterium
Lineage: Bacteria
Description: partial 16S ribosomal RNA
Rfam family: Bacterial small subunit ribosomal RNA
Source: RNAcentral
GUGUCAGCCGCCGCGGUAAUACGGAGGGUGCAAGCGUUAUCCGGAUUCACUGGGUUUAAAGGGUGCGUAGGUGGGCUAGUAAGUCCGUGGUGAAAUCCCCGAGCUUAACUCGGGAACUGCCGUGGAUACUAUUAGUCUUGAAUAUCGUGGAGGUAAGCGGAAUAUGUCAUGUAGCGGUGAAAUGCUUAGAUAUGACAUAGAACACCGAUAGCGGAGGCAGCUUACUACGCGAUUAUUGACACUGAGGCACGAAAGCGUGGGGAUCAAACAGGAUUAGAAACCCUCGUAGUCC